RNAcentral lists this long non-coding RNA (828 nucleotides) under Trifolium pratense (red clover). Its description in RNAcentral is "long non-coding RNA (TPRA_LNC002252)". The record is from RNAcentral. Lineage: Eukaryota; Viridiplantae; Streptophyta; Magnoliopsida; Fabales; Fabaceae.
GCUUCAUCAAGAAUCGAAGGCAUCUACUAUUUAUAAUACACAAAGAUUAGAAGUGAGAAAAAUAUUGAUAUUUCUUUAUAUAAAAUUUAAAAACAAUGUAUACGAUUAUACCUUCUUCAUAAAAAUUAUGGAUAUGCAAAAAAUGUUUAUUUAUUUAUUUUGUUUAUCAGAAUUAGUAUGUAUUUUUAUUUGUUAAAUCAUAGUUUAUUAAUUAUAACAUGGACUCAAGUACGUUUAUGAACUUCAAUUAAAGAUAAAUGUUUGAUUUAACUAUUAACUACUUACCUCAUCACCAAAUUUGGAUUACUGAUCCCUUUACAAUUUAAACUGGAGAUCAAGACAAAACAAAUAAAGUUUAUUAAUGACAUCAUUCAAAUGAUUAUUUGUUUAACGAUGAUGGUUUUUCAAAAUUGAAAAGAUCUGAACUUCAAAGAAAUUAACACAAACUCACCAAAUUAGAGGAAAGGCCAAGAUAAUGAAUUUGAUGGCAGCUUCUUAAUUCUUUCAUGGUGUUGUGAAAGCAUUGGGCAGCUUUGCACCAGGUGAGAGCGACAUGUAUCAUAGGGUCGAGCAAAAAGAACAACCACACCAUAUAAGAAAUGGUGGUUUUCUAAUUAAGCCGCGAUCAACUGAUACGUGUUUCUCUCACCCGGAGUAAAAGUGACCAUUGAAAAUAUUGAAAUUUGUAAGUUUUUUUUUUCUUCUUUUUUCUUCUAAGUUUCUAAGCGUUGCCUGUUCUAUACUUAUAGUACUUGUUUGUUGAUUGGCUUUGGUUUUAUAGGAAUUAUUUAAUUUAAUAUUGUUCACGGGUCGUUUUGUAAGUCUUGU